This 200-nucleotide ribosomal RNA is filed under the name uncultured eukaryote. RNAcentral describes it as "partial 18S ribosomal RNA". It matches the Rfam family "Eukaryotic small subunit ribosomal RNA", at positions 587 to 787 of the family's 1831-position model. The record is from RNAcentral.
AGCUCCAAUAGCGUAUAUUAAAGUUGUUUGCAGUUAAAAAGCUCGUAGUUGGAUAUCUGGCCUUUGCAUAGCCGGCCGCCUUGUGGUUGAGUGCCGAAGUGCUGGCCUAUCUUUCGGUUGACGGCUAUCGCGCCACCAUAGCGCGGUAGUCGUUAUCCGGAUCGUUACUUUGAAAAAAUUGGAGUGUUCAAAGCAGGCUU